GAUGAACGCUGACAGAAUGCUUAACACAUGCAAGUCGGCUCGGGUCUUCGGACUUGGGUGGCGCACGGGUGAGUAACGCGUAAAAGAACUUGCCUCUUAGACCGGGACAACAUCUGGAAACGGAUGCUAAUACCGGAUAUUAUGGUUUUUUCGCAUGGAGGAAUCAUGAAAGCUAGAUGCGCUAAGAGAGAGCUUUGCGUCCCAUUAGCUAGUUGGUGAGGUAACGGCCCACCAAGGCAAUGAUGGGUAGCCGGCCUGAGAGGGUGAACGGCCACAUUGGGACUGAGACACGGCCCAA
This 298-nucleotide ribosomal RNA is filed under the name uncultured bacterium. Its description in RNAcentral is "partial 16S ribosomal RNA". It matches the Rfam family "Bacterial small subunit ribosomal RNA", at positions 28 to 334 of the family's 1533-position model. The record is from RNAcentral.